This 282-nucleotide ribosomal RNA is filed under the name Triticum aestivum (bread wheat). RNAcentral's name for it is "partial small subunit ribosomal RNA". The record is from RNAcentral. Lineage: Eukaryota; Viridiplantae; Streptophyta; Magnoliopsida; Poales; Poaceae.
CCUCUUCUAGACAAGGCAAUGGGCCGGUUGCCGGGAUGGAAGGGGAAGAACCUGGCGCGACCGGGCAGGGUCUCCCUUGCAAAGUCCGUAUUGUGCGCCAUCGCAAAUCAUCACCUCACUGCGCUCUCGCUUCCCACUUGGGCAAUCCAGAAGCUCAGUAAGAUCACUCGUAACUUCAUCUGGUGUGGGGAAGACUCGGAAAACACGUCUGGCGGACAUUCUCUGGUCAACUGGAAGACUGUCUGCCGGCCUAAGCCCAUGGGGGGGCCUGGGAAUCACUGA